CAAGUACAGCACCAAAAGAAGAGAUCACCAUCAACAUUUCCAUACUCGCCUGUGUCCUGUUAUUCCUCAUUUUUAUCUACUUCUUUUUGCUUUGGAAUUCCAC
This 103-nucleotide non-coding RNA is filed under the name Tiarina fusus. Lineage: Eukaryota; Ciliophora; Prostomatea; Prorodontida; Colepidae. The record is from RNAcentral.